This 301-nucleotide ribosomal RNA is filed under the name uncultured bacterium. RNAcentral describes it as "partial 16S ribosomal RNA". It matches the Rfam family "Bacterial small subunit ribosomal RNA", at positions 509 to 808 of the family's 1533-position model. The record is from RNAcentral.
CAGCCGCCUCGGUAAUACGUAGGUCCCGAGCGUUGUCCGGAUUUAUUGGGCGUAGAGGGAGCGCAGGCGGUUUAGUAAGUCUGAAGUUAAAGGCAUUGGCUCAACCAAUGUAUGCUUUGGAAACUGUUAGACUUGAGUGCAGAAGGGGAGAGUGGAAUUCCAUGUGUAGCGGUGAAAUGCGUAGAUAUAUGGAGGAACACCGGUGGCGAAAGCGGCUCUCUGGUCUGCCACUGACGCUGAGGCUCGAAAGCGUGGGUAGCGAACAGGAUUAGAUACCCGGGUAGUCCCUGUCUCUUAUACA